AUGCCUUAAACUAAUGAGUAAGGAAAAUAUAGAGCCUAGUUAACUCUGGGUUCAGCUACCUAGUUAUUGGAAUAACUGCA
This 80-nucleotide small nuclear RNA is filed under the name Rhodnius prolixus. RNAcentral describes it as "U12 minor spliceosomal RNA". It matches the Rfam family "U12 minor spliceosomal RNA". Rfam says of the family: Although the U12 sequence is very divergent from that of U2, the two are functionally analogous. The record is from RNAcentral. Lineage: Eukaryota; Metazoa; Arthropoda; Insecta; Hemiptera; Reduviidae.